AUGUUUGUUCCGUUUUAUGUUGGUGAACUGGUGGAAGAGGGAAAAGUGAAGUAUAUUGGCCUAUCUCAAGCUAGCCCAGAUACGAUAAGGAGAGCACAUGAUGUUCCUCCCAUCAUAGUUGUACAAAUAGAGUGGUAUCUUUGGACUCCUGAGAUUGAGGACGAGAUAGUUCCUCUCUGCAGUACCCUCAGUAAUCUUGGCGUCUCCGAUUUUGGUGGAUUGGUUUGA
Molecule: non-coding RNA, 228 nt
Organism: Vicia faba (fava bean)
Lineage: Eukaryota; Viridiplantae; Streptophyta; Magnoliopsida; Fabales; Fabaceae
Source: the annotation of a GenBank genome assembly